RNAcentral lists this ribosomal RNA (248 nucleotides) under uncultured Hydrogenoanaerobacterium sp. RNAcentral describes it as "partial 16S ribosomal RNA". It matches the Rfam family "Bacterial small subunit ribosomal RNA", at positions 524 to 772 of the family's 1533-position model. Lineage: Bacteria; Bacillati; Bacillota; Clostridia; Eubacteriales; Oscillospiraceae. The record is from RNAcentral.
UACGUAGGGAGCGAGCGUUGUCCGGAAUUACUGGGUGUAAAGGGAGCGUAGGCGGGAGGCCAAGUUGAAUGUUAAAUCUACCGGCUCAACUGGUAGCUGCGUUCAAAACUGGUCUUCUUGAGUGAAGUAGAGGUUGGCGGAAUUCCUAGUGUAGCGGUGAAAUGCGUAGAUAUUAGGAGGAACACCAGUGGCGAAGGCGGCCAACUGGGCUUUUACUGACGCUGAGGCUCGAAAGCGUGGGGAGCAAA